Long non-coding RNA from Mytilus trossulus (common blue mussel), 161 nucleotides. RefSeq lists it as uncharacterized. The record is from RefSeq and is a predicted model, not a curated record. Lineage: Eukaryota; Metazoa; Mollusca; Bivalvia; Mytilida; Mytilidae. The transcript is spliced from 3 exons.
CCUGACACAACUCUCACUGAAAAUAUGGAAAACAGUUUGCCAGUCAUUAGCGACAGCGAGGAAGAAGAAUUGUUGAAACCAGUUUCGGACGAAGACAAAUAUAGUGAUGUUGUAAGUGAAGACGACAGGUUGUUGUAUGAAUCUCAAGAUCCUAAUAUUGC